GGCGCACGGUGGAUGCCUUGGCACUAGGAGCCGAUGAAGGACGGGACUAACACCGAUAUGCUUUGGGGAGCUGUACGUAAGCUAUGAUCCAGAGAUUUCCGAAUGGGGGAACCCAACAUCUUUAAUAGGAUGUUACGAUUGUGUGAAUACAUAGCACAUUCGAGGUAGACGCAGAGAACUGAAACAUCUAAGUACCUGCAGGAAGAGAAAGAAAAUUCGAUUCCCUGAGUAGCGGCGAGCGAAACGGGAAAAGCCCAAACCAGCAAGCUUGCUUGUUGGGGUUGUAGGACUCCAAUAUGGUAGUUCUUUCAGAUAGUCGAAUGACUUGGAAAAGUCAGUCAAAGAGGGUAAAAACCCCGUAGACGAAAUGUGGAAGACACCUAGGAGGAUCCUGAGUACGGCGGAACACGAGAAAUUCCGUCGGAAUCCGGGAGGACCAUCUCCCAAGGCUAAAUACUCCCUAGUGACCGAUAGUGAACCAGUACCGUGAGGGAAAGGUGAAAAGCACCCCGGAAGGGGAGUGAAAUAGAACCUGAAACCGUGUGCCUACAACAAGUCAAAGCCCGUUAAUGGGUGAUGGCGUGCCUUUUGUAGAAUGAACCGGCGAGUUACGAUUGCAUGCGAGGUUAAGUUGAAGAGACGGAGCCGCAGCGAAAGCGAGUCUGAAUAGGGCGUUUGAGUAUGUAGUCGUAGACCCGAAACCAUGUGAUCUACCCAUGUCCAGGUUGAAGGUGCGGUAAAACGCACUGGAGGACCGAACCCACGUACGUUGAAAAGUGCGGGGAUGAGGUGUGGGUAGCGGAGAAAUUCCAAACGAACUUGGAGAUAGCUGGUUCUCUCCGAAAUAGCUUUAGGGCUAGCCUCGGAAUUGAGAAUGAUGGAGGUAGAGCACUGUUUGGACUAGGGGCCCAUCUCGGGUUACCGAAUUCAGAUAAACUCCGAAUGCCAUUCAUUCAUAUCCGGGAGUCAGACUGUGAGUGAUAAGAUCCAUAGUCGAAAGGGAAACAGCCCAGACCACCAGCUAAGGUCCCAAAAUAUAUGUUAAGUGGAAAAGGAUGUGGGGUUGCACAGACAACUAGGAUGUUGGCUUAGAAGCAGCCACCAUUUAAAGAGUGCGUAAUAGCUCACUAGUCGAGUGACCCUGCGCCGAAAAUGUACCGGGGCUAAACAUAUUACCGAAGCUGUGGAGUACACCUUUAGGUGUAUUGGUAGGAGAGCGUUCUAAGGGCGUUGAAGGCAGAUCGUGAGGACUGCUGGAGCGCUUAGAAGUGAGAAUGCCGGUAUGAGUAGCGAAAGACAGGUGAGAAUCCUGUCCACCGAAUGACUAAGGUUUCCUGGGGAAGGCUCGUCCGCCCAGGGUUAGUCGGGACCUAAGCCGAGGCCGACAGGCGUAGGCGAUGGAUAACAGGUUGAUAUUCCUGUACCCGUUGUUUUUGUUUGAGCAAUGGAGGGACGCAGGAGGCUAAGGAAUGCAGACGAUCGGAAAUGUCUGUCCAAGCAGUAAGUCUGAAGAGGAGUCAAAUGCUUCUUUUCUUAAGGACAAGCUGUGAUGGGGAGGGAAAUAAUAGUACCGAAGUUCCUGAUGUCACACUGCCGAGAAAAGCUUCUAGUGAGAAAACAGCGGCCCGUACCGCAAACCGACACAGGUAGUCGAGGAGAGAAUCCUAAGGUGAGCGAGAGAACUCUCGUUAAGGAACUCGGCAAAAUGACCCCGUAACUUCGGGAGAAGGGGUGCUGAUCAUACGAUCAGCCGCAGUGAAUAGGCCCAAGCGACUGUUUAUCAAAAACACAGGUCUCUGCAAAAUCGUAAGAUGAAGUAUAGGGGCUGACGCCUGCCCGGUGCUGGAAGGUUAAGAGGAGUGCUUAGCGCAAGCGAAGGUACGAAUUGAAGCCCCAGUAAACGGCGGCCGUAACUAUAACGGUCCUAAGGUAGCGAAAUUCCUUGUCGGGUAAGUUCCGACCCGCACGAAAGGCGUAACGAUUUGGGCACUGUCUCAACGAGAGACUCGGUGAAAUUUUAGUACCUGUGAAGAUGCAGGUUACCCGCGACAGGACGGAAAGACCCCAUGGAGCUUUACUGUAGUUUGAUAUUGAGUGUCUGUACCGCAUGUACAGGAUAGGUAGGAGCCGUAGAAAUCGGAACGCUAGUUUCGAUGGAGGCGCUGGUGGGAUACUACCCCUGCGUUAUGGCCACUCUAACCCGCACCACUAAUCGUGGUGGGAGACAGUGUCAGAUGGGCAGUUUGACUGGGGGCGGUCGCCUCCUAAAAGGUAACGGAGGCGCCCAAAGGUUCCCUCAGAAUGGUUGGAAAUCAUUCGAAGAGUGUAAAGGCAGAAGGGAGCUUGACUGCGAGACCAACAAGUCGAGCAGGGACGAAAGUCGGGCUUAGUGAUCCGGUGGUUCCGCAUGGAAGGGCCAUCGCUCAACGGAUAAAAGCUACCCUGGGGAUAACAGGCUUAUCUCCCCCAAGAGUCCACAUCGACGGGGAGGUUUGGCACCUCGAUGUCGGCUCGUCGCAUCCUGGGGCUGUAGUCGGUCCCAAGGGUUGGGCUGUUCGCCCAUUAAAGCGGCACGCGAGCUGGGUUCAGAACGUCGUGAGACAGUUCGGUCCCUAUCCGUCGCGGGCGUUGGAAAUUUGAGAGGAGCUGUCCUUAGUACGAGAGGACCGGGAUGGACUUACCGCUGGUGUACCAGUUGUUCUGCCAAGGGCAUUGCUGGGUAGCUAUGUAGGGAAGGGAUAAACGCUGAAAGCAUCUAAGUGUGAAGCCCACCUCAAGAUGAGAUUUCCCAUUUCUUUAAGAAAGUAAGAUCCCUGAGAGAUGAUCAGGUAGAUAGGUCAGGAGUGGAAGUACAGUGAUGUAUGGAGCGGACUGAU
RNAcentral lists this ribosomal RNA (2876 nucleotides) under Enterococcus faecium. RNAcentral's name for it is "bacterial LSU rRNA". It matches the Rfam family "Bacterial large subunit ribosomal RNA". Lineage: Bacteria; Bacillati; Bacillota; Bacilli; Lactobacillales; Enterococcaceae. The record is from RNAcentral.